Long non-coding RNA from Anolis carolinensis (green anole), 3599 nucleotides. RefSeq lists it as uncharacterized. The record is from RefSeq and is a predicted model, not a curated record. The transcript has 2 exons. NCBI's taxonomy places the organism in Eukaryota, Metazoa, Chordata, Lepidosauria, Squamata, Anolidae.
CAUUUCCCUGAUCAAGAAAGAAGAGCAAAAGGUUAAACAUGAACCUGCAAACUUCCUUUAUUUCCAAGAUGAUCCUCUUUUCCAUUCAGUGCUUGUGUUGAAAAUUGAACUACCCAGAAAUGGAGAUAUGAAGGGUCUCAAGGACACACAGAAACAAGCAAAGGCCACAAGGGAUCCCAGGUCCGUCUCCUGUGCAUCCCAAAUUGGACCUCUGCUGCCACCACAUUUCCUACAUCUCUCAAAGGAACCCCAAAUUCCCAAAGACGUUGCCUUCCUGCCUGGCAAAUUCAACACCCCAUUUAGGCAUGCUGAGAUGUCCACAGAACUGGUCUCGCCUGGACUAAGUCCCCGUUGGGCUGUUCACUCCCUUGGUUGAGCCACAGGACGGCAUGCAAAUUCACAGGCACAGAUCAGUCGGGAAACCCUCCUUCCUGCCCAGCCCUUUCCACCCUGUCCAUUUCCGCCUCUAUUUCCUGCCCUCUGUUGUGGGGAAAGGCUUUUCAGCAGGUGAAGGCUUGGUUCUGGUCUUUGGCUGGGUUCUGUGGUCUUUGGAUACAGGUGAACUACAACUCCCAAAAUCAAGGCCCAUUCCCACAAAUCCUUGUAGUAUGUUCAGUUGGUCAUGAGGCUUCUCUGUGCAAAGUGUGGUCCUGGUCCAUUGUCAGUGGGGGUCACUUUUUCUCUGGAUGCAGGUGAACUACAAGUCCCUUUUCCCCAAACUAGUCCAAUAUGUUUAUUAGUUAUGGGGGCUCUGUGUGCCAAGUGUGGUCCUGGUCUAUCAUUUGUGGGGUUUGAUUGCAGGUGAACUAUAAAUCCCAGUACCUACUACUCCUAUCCAGGCCAAUUUCCCUCCAAACCCACCAGUAUUCAAAUCUGGGCAUCUUGGGGAUGCAUGGCAAGUUUGGCCCAGAGCCAUCUUUGUUUGGGUUCAUAGCAUUCUGGGUGUAGGAGAACUACAACUCCUUCCCCAUGUAAGCCGCCCCGAGUCCCUCCGGGGAGAUGGGGCAGGAUAUAAGAAUAAAAUUAUUAUUAUUAUUAUUAUUCCCCAGUAGGAGUCACAGCAGUGCUCUGAUUUGAUGCAGGGUGAACUACAACUUCCACCCUGUGCAGUCAAUCCCCAAACUCCUCCAGUAAGUUUAGUUUCUGCUCAGUUCUGCUGUGUUUGUUAUGCAGACAGAUUUGAAAGGGAAGGGCAGUAGGCGGGGUCAUGCAAAUUCCACAGCAAUGGAGAACCCUGGGAUGCCUGCCUGUGGUGGAAGAAAAAGCAAAAUCUAGGAUGAAAUGGUCACCAAACGAAAGCAUUCCUUGGGUGGUGGGCCGUAGUGUUUGGGAAGGACAUUGGCAGGGGUUGGGCUGCAUGUUCAUUGAGCUCGCUGUAGCCAAAAUGUCAGCGGAAAAGAGUGACUUGCUAGAUUUUUAACCAUGGGAACUAUAGCCUGUUUGUGGAGGUUGGAGGCUGUCUGUGUGAGCAGGCAUCCAUGCCACAUACACACAUACGGGUUUUCGCUUUUAUUAUGGAUUUAGAUUAGAUUAGAUUAGAUUUAGAUUAGAUAGAUUAGAUUAGAUUAGAUAGAUUUAGAUUAAUAGAUACAGAUGUUACCUUAUAAUAAUUUGGACCAAAAUUUUUUUAAAAUGGCAAAUUAUAUUAAACAUGGACUGUAAUGGGAAUAGAGUCAGAAUAAAUAAAAACUAAAUGGUAUAAACCACAAAAAUAAGGCAGGUUAGGUCUCCCAAAUAUUAAAGUAUAUGAUCAUGCCAACCAAAUAAUAAGGUACGUAGUCGAAGGAUUAGCGAAGCAAGGAAAACUGGAAGGGCCAGAAGAGGGGUUCUCAACCCGGGGUCCCUCCCCAGGUGUGUUUGGCCUACAACUCCCAGAAAUCCCAGCCAGUUCAGUUUACCAGCUGUUAGGGUUUCUGGGACUGGAAGGCCAAAAACAUCUGGUGAGGGACCCCAGGUUGAGAACCACUGGGCUAGAAGAAGAGGAUAAGAAAUUAGAAGUAUAUUUUGAUAGAAAAUAAAGGAAAGUCUAAAAGGAAUUGGUAUAAUGAACAGAGUAACCCCCUUACAUAAAUAUAAACUUUAUAUCUAAACUUUUUCCCAUGCCAUACUGUUGCCCUUGACCCGCCUGGCACCUGCUAGUUGGCCACCCCAACGUGGAACCCUUGAUCCCUGUAUCCUGUCCCGCCGAUGGAGUAUUUUGUCAUUGGUUCCUAAGCCUGUGGUUAAUUGAUUGAUUUGUAUGUUUAGCACACUUAUGCUCAUUAUCGUAUUAUGUUUUGUUGUUGUCUGGUUUCAUUGUUGGAGAUAGGGUGGUAUAUAAAUAAAGUUUUAGUAUUGUUACUAUUAUUUAUUUGUACCCCGCCACUGUAAUAAGAUAAAAUGAAAUAUGAAUAUAUGGUAUCAAUGGAAGAGAUGAAUGAAUGAGAGCUAAUAAUUUUGGAGACACCAUUCUAAAAUAUUAAGGCCUACAAUGACUAACUACCUGCUUGCUGAAUAGUAAUUAAAACCAGCUAAUGAUAACUGAAAUAGUUGACCUGUCUGGUAAACUCGGUUAAGAACUGCGACAGUGAGAAGAGAAAUGUUUACAUCUGUUUACAUCUGUCAAUAUUUGCUGAUUUGAUGAACUUUGGGGCAGAGACAAUGGUUUUUUAAGUUAAGGAAAUGUUUACAACUGUUGAGAAGGAAGUCAACACAAGGCCAACACUAAUCAAGAAGAGUCAACAUCUGGUCCAGGAAACGGAGAUGGAGCCAGGAUGUUCCGGGAUGGAAGACGUCUAUCAUUCAUUUACAACUUUGGGACAACAUCAGAAAAAUAUUGUUAUAUAAGUGUCUAUGUUUUUACUGUGUCUUGUUUAAAUUUUAUUGUUUUUUUCUAAUGUGGAAUUUUUUAUUAUAAUGAGUAUGUUAUUGUCAUUUUAUACUUUUGAUAUUAGUGAUGUAGUUGGGGUACUGAAUGUUUGCCGUCUAUAUGUAUGUUAACCGCCCCGAGUCCCUCUGGGGAGAGAGGGCGGUCUAGAAAUAAAUUAUUAUUAUUAUUAUUAUUAUUAUUAUUAUUAUUAUUAUUAUUAUUAUUAUUUAUGAUGAUCCAGAAAUUGUGACAAACAGAGAUGCUGUUUGUCCACCAUGCUCAGUGGAGAUGAUGCAUGGGAAAGUGGCAGAUUUGCAUGGAAGCGGUCUUGUCACUGGGCCUCCUUUUCUCAAGGGAAGAGGAAGGAGUGCAUUUCGGAGUCAUGAUACGGGUUGCAGGGAGACAGUUGUGUCUGAUACUUGGCAUUGUUCGUAGGAAAAAAGGAUGCAUUUUGACGUUUUGGAACUAUGCUGCAGAGGAAGCAGGGCCUGGCCUAAGCAGGUGCUUCUCCAAGGAGGGAGAAAGGAUAUGGUAAUAUCUGGAUGGAUGCACGAGGAUGAAUACAUGGAGAUGUGUGUGAAUGCUGAGUGAAAAUGUAACCCCCCCCCCCCGCUUUGUCUGUUGUAGGUUGUUUAUCAAGCCAAUGUGGUUACAUAAAAUCUGUAUGUCUAAUGUCACUCUUUGUUGUUUGUGUAAACGUUCUGAUACCUCUCACACUGAAAUUGCAAUAAAAAGAACCUAUGCUUUAAAA